AGAGUUUGAUCCUGGCUCAGGACGAACGCUGGCGGCGUGCCUAACACAUGCAAGUCAAACGGAACUGUUUUGAAAGAUUUCUUCGGAAUGAAUUUGAUUUAGUUUAGUGGUGGGCGGGUGAGUAACGCGUGAGUAACCUGCCUUCAAGAGGGGGAUAACAUUCUGAAAAGAAUGCUAAUACCGCAUGACAUAUCGGAACCACUUGGUUUUGAUAUCAAAGAUUUUAUCGCUUGAAGAUGGACUCGCGUCCGAUUAGUUAGUUGGUGAGGCAACCGCUCACCAAGACUUGCUAUCGGUAGCCGGACUGAUAGGUUGAACGGCCACAUUGGUGACUGAGACACGGCCCAGACUCCUACGGGAGGUUUCGGGGGGGGAUAUUGCGCAAUGGGGGCAACCUUGAUGCAGCGACGCCGCGUGAGCGAUGAAGUAUUUCGGUAUGUAAAGCUCUAUCAGCAGGGUAGAAAAUGACGGUACCUGACUAAGAAGCACCGGCUAAAUACGUACCAGCAGCCGCGGUAAUACGUAUGGUGCAAGCGUUAUCCGGAUUUACUGGGUGUAAAGGGAGCGUAGACGGAGGGGCAAGUCUGAUGUGAAAACCCGGGGCUCAACCCCGGGACUGCAUUGGAAACUGUCAAUCUGGAGUACCGGAGAGGUAAGCGGAAUUCCUAGUGUAGCGGUGAAAUGCGUAGAUAUUAGGAGGAACACCAGUGGCGAAGGCGGCUUACUGGACGGUAACUGACGUUGAGGCUCGAAAGCGUGGGGAGCAAACAGGAUUAGAUACCCUGGUAGUCCACGCCGUAAACGAUG
Molecule: ribosomal RNA, 807 nt
Filed under: uncultured bacterium
Lineage: Bacteria
Description: bacterial SSU rRNA
Rfam family: Bacterial small subunit ribosomal RNA
Source: RNAcentral